ACCUGGUUGAUCCUGCCAGUGAAAUAUGCUCGUCUCAAAGACUAAGCCAUGCAUGUGUAAGUUCAUAUCGAUUUAAACGAUGAAACUGCGAAGCGCUCAGUAAAUCAGUUAUGGUCUCUUCAAUGAUAUAAACCAUGGAUAACUAUGGCAAAUCUAUAGCUAAUACAUGUGUCAGCCGGGUUCUAAGGUAAAACAAGGGACUCGGAGCAUUUAUUAGUUAACAAAACCAACAACAUGGAUCGGUACAAAGCAAUUUGUAACGGUUUAUGAUUUAGUUGAAAGUGAAUAACUGUGUAUAUCGUAGUGGUCUUGUACCGACGAUAGUUUGAUCGAAUUUCUGCCCUAUCAACUUGUUGGUAGGGUAGUGGCCUACCAAGGUUGUGACGGGUAACGGGGAAUCAGGGUUCGAUUCCGGAGAGGGAGCCUGAGAAACGGCUACCACUUCCAAGGAAGGCAGCAGGCGCGCAAAUUACCCAAUCCAGACAUUGGGAGGUAGUGACGAGAAAUACCGAGGCGGGGCUCUAAAAAGCUUUGCUAUCGGAAUGAACGUAACUUAUAUAAUUCGCUGAGUAACAACUGGAGGGCAAGUCUGGUGCCAGCAGCCGCGGUAAUUCCAGCUCCAGUAGUGUAUUUCAAAAUUGUUGCGGUUAAAACGCUCGUAGUCGAAUUAUAAGAACGUUAAUUUCAACCUUUGCGUGCGUAUGCAGUAGCAAAUGGUUGGGUGACGUUCUUUUGUCGCAAGUACUAAAUGUGGGCUUAAAUGCUUGUGUUUAGUCGCUUGCGAAGCGUGCCUUGAAUAAAGCAGAGUGCUCAAAGCAAGCGUAACGCUGGAAUGUAAUAGCAUGGAACGAAUUGAAUAGCGCAGGUGUUUUCCAGUUGGUUGGUGGGAUUGUUGGGAUAUUUGGUAGCAGUUGUUCGAAAGAAUAGCUGUGUGUCAAGUAUUCUGUCAGUCCACUUGAUAUGGUAACAUAUUAGGUACGGGAUAGCCUGUCGGUUAAGAGGGACAUUUGAGGGCGUUAGUACUUGGUGGCGAGAGGUGAAAUUCUUAGACCCACCAAAGACUGACAAAUGCGAAAGCAUUCGCCAAGAGUGUUUUCAUUGAUCAAGAACGAAAGUUGGAGGUUCGAAGACGAUCAGAUACCGUCCUAGUUCCAUACAGUAAACGAUGCCAACACGUGGUCAGUCUGAAGUUUUUUAGAUUGAGGUUGGUCACCCAGGGAAACUGAAAGUGUUCUGGUUGUGGGGAGAGUACGGUCGCAAGGUUGAAAUUUAAAGGAAUUGACGGAAGGGCACCACCAGGAGUGGAGCCUGCGGCUUAAUUUGACUCAACACGGGACAACUCACCAGGUCCGGACAUCGGAAGGAUUGACAGACUGAUAGAUCUUUCAUGAUUUGAUGAUUGGUGGUGCAUGGCCGUUCUUAGUUGGUGGAGUGAUCUGUCAGGUUUAUUCCGGUAACGAGCGAGACCACGAUGUCUAGUUAAUGGCUAAAUCGCGGCAACCAUUUCGAUGGUCCAAGAGGAAAUGAAAAUAUAUCAAGUAUAAAUUGAAUGGCAACAUUUAGUUUGUAUUUGAUGUGUUUUUGUUUAACCUGUGCGUUUUGGAUACUAGACAGACAACCGGAGAACCAAGCCGGGGGAAGCGUGGCAAUAACAGGUCUGUGAUGCCCUUCGAUGUUCUGGGCUGCACGCGCGCUACAAUGGCAGUGACAGAAAGGUGCCUGGUCGAGAGACCUGGCAAAACUGGAAUCGCUGUCGUGAUUGGGAUUGAGCUUUGUAAUUUGCUCAUGAAAGAGGAAUUCCUCGUAAGCGCGAGUCACCAACUCGUGUUGAAUACGUUUCUGCCCUUUGUACACACCGCCCGUCGCUACUACUGAUUGAAUUGGUUUUUGAAGCAUAGAGAUUGGUGAAGCGUUGUUAUGGAGCAAUCUAUAACUAUUUGUUUUGCCGAGAACCAUCCUAAAAAAGUCGUUCGAGAGGAAGUAAAAGUCGUAACAAGGUUUCCGUAGGUGAACCUGCGGAAC
RNAcentral lists this ribosomal RNA (2022 nucleotides) under Parvicapsula sp. genotypeX. Its description in RNAcentral is "SSU rRNA". It matches the Rfam family "Eukaryotic small subunit ribosomal RNA". The record is from RNAcentral. Lineage: Eukaryota; Metazoa; Cnidaria; Myxozoa; Bivalvulida; Parvicapsulidae.